Molecule: non-coding RNA, 72 nt
Organism: Ornithorhynchus anatinus (platypus)
Lineage: Eukaryota; Metazoa; Chordata; Mammalia; Monotremata; Ornithorhynchidae
Source: Rfam
AGCAGUGUGGCUUAGUGGAAAGAGUACAGGCUUGGGAGCCAGAGGAUGUAGGUUCUAAUCCUGACUCUGCUA